Non-coding RNA from Callithrix jacchus (white-tufted-ear marmoset), 643 nucleotides. The record is from RefSeq and is a predicted model, not a curated record. NCBI's taxonomy places the organism in Eukaryota, Metazoa, Chordata, Mammalia, Primates, Cebidae.
CAGACCGCGAGCUCCUACGGGAAGAGUGCCCCGAUCUCGUGUCCCCCAGAAACACCACUUCUUUCCCUGUCAGAGUCUGUGCCGCCCGCCUGGACCGCCCACCGUCGGUCAAACAUCAGCGAGCCGGAAUGUGAGCUCCAGGAGGGCACCAGCUCACUGCUGUAUCCCCAACACCCAGAACGUGGCACAUUGUGGGCACCCCAUGAGUAUUGAUAAAAUGAAUUCUGUGGGAAUGUGUUUUUGAAAGGAAAAAGCUAAAUAAAUGCAUCCUGAAGGAACAAACGAGAAGCCGUUUUAUAACAACAACAACAACAACAACAAAAAUACAAAAGCCAGGCGUGGUGGCUCACACCUGUAAUCCUAGCACUUUGGGAGGCUGAGGUGGGUGGAUCACCUGAGGUCAGGAGUUCAAGACCAGCCUGGCCAUCAUGGUGAAACCUCAUCUUAAAAAAAAAAAAAAAAAAAGUAAAAAAAAAAAAAUACAAAAAACAAAACAAAACGAAAGAAGCCAUUUUAUUUGCAUGUCCUGGGGUUAGUAGAGGCAAUGGACAGUGUAACGUCUCAAAGCGUAGCAAACAACUUAGCAGCCUGGGAAUGCUGGCUGAUUGAAAGAGGAGACUGUCAUCAAACCAAGCCUUUACCA